Pelobates cultripes (western spadefoot toad) is the source of this 473-nucleotide non-coding RNA. The record is from the annotation of a GenBank genome assembly. Lineage: Eukaryota; Metazoa; Chordata; Amphibia; Anura; Pelobatidae.
UGGAGAAUAUAACCAGAAUCCACAACCACUCUAGUGUGCUAUUACUAAAUGUGUGUCCGCUAAACCUGCUAAACACUACUAUGCAUCAAUCACUGUAUGGCUUACACUUAUUCUGCACCUUCUAAUUAGCAAUUUGUAUUGAUGAUCUACCUACUAGUACAGCCAUAACCGAUUUACCAGCCAUACUUUCCACUCACCCGCACCUGGCAAUAUCCCAAUGUUUGAUGUCCAGCCUGUGUUCAGUUAAAUAUGUAUAGCCUGUCAUUAAGUAUGUUUUAUAAUACUGAAGCACUAUCGGUGUAACCAGACUGCUGUUACAUGACUCCAUACUGAUAUAUUUACCAUUCUGUUUAUUGUUCAGCUUGAUUUUACUUUUAAAAAUUGUGCAAUUACUUCAUAUACCGUGUCAAAGCUAAAUCUAACCUGUAACAUGAACUGCUUGCUAAUACUGUUGUGGUAUCGCAAGUCUAUAU